GUGGGAGCACUGAGGGAUCAGGUGUGACUGUGUGGCAAUGGCAAAUGGUUUACAUGACUCACAGUUCAGGUAGGAGGGCCCCUUAGCAGAAUUUUUGUUUAGGGCCCCAGGGAGGUCAGGACCGGCUCUGCCUGUUGCCCUCUGCCAACCUGGCUGAUGGCACCACGGACCUCAUCCUAGCUUCCCGCCUCGACUUCCUCCGACAACAAGGAUGACCGUUUUGACAUGUCCUUCAUGGAGGUGCACCGUGUGCGGGAGAUCCGGUUUGUUCCGAAGCACAGCAAUGUGAUCUCAGAGGUGGACCAGUGGGAAAAAGAUCUGUAACCAGGUCUGUACGGCCCAUCCCAGCUACGACACAGGCCAUAGCAACUGGAACUGUGAUGAGGAGAUCAUGCCUCAUGCGGCUAUACAUGUCAGUAAUUGUUCUUGGAAUGAGUCAGCAAAUGAGCGGCUGAGAUAAUUGAUGGUGAUAACCCCGAUCUCCCCCUCAAAAAUAAAGAAAAAAAGAAGACGGAGAGAAGUUGGCUGCUUUCUUUCACUGCUAGACACAAUAUUCGUAGGUGACUUCAAUAGUAUAUAUUUUAAAGUAAAUAUGGUUACGUGUUUGGUUGCGUCUGUCUGGAUUGCCUGAUGGGCAGUGCAUGCACAGUUGGGCCUAUUCAAAUAUUACUUGAAUCACCAGUGUGACUGACUGGAAAAUAAAAUCUGUAUGGUCCUUGCAGCA
Oncorhynchus keta (chum salmon) is the source of this 724-nucleotide long non-coding RNA. RefSeq lists it as uncharacterized. The record is from RefSeq and is a predicted model, not a curated record. NCBI's taxonomy places the organism in Eukaryota, Metazoa, Chordata, Actinopteri, Salmoniformes, Salmonidae. The transcript has 3 exons.